RNAcentral lists this ribosomal RNA (465 nucleotides) under uncultured bacterium. Its description in RNAcentral is "partial 16S ribosomal RNA". It matches the Rfam family "Bacterial small subunit ribosomal RNA", at positions 28 to 507 of the family's 1533-position model. The record is from RNAcentral.
GACGAACGCUGGCGGCGUGCUUAACACAUGCAAGUCGAACGGAAAGGCCCCUUUGGGGGUACUCGAGUGGCGAACGGGUGAGUAACACGUGAGUAACCUGCCCUUGACUUCGGGAUAACUUCAGGAAACUGGGGCUAAUACCGGAUAGGAAUCCUUGCUGCAUGGUGGGGGUUGGAAAGCUUCGGCGGUUUUGGAUGGACUCGCGGCUUAUCAGCUUGUUGGUGGGGUAGUGGCUUACCAAGGCUUUGACGGGUAGCCGGCCUGAGAGGGCGACCGGCCACAUUGGGACUGAGAUACGGCCCAGACUCCUACGGGAGGCAGCAGUGGGGAAGAUUGCACAAGGGGCGGAAGCCUGAUGCAGCAACGCCGCGUGCGGGAGGACGGCCUUCGGGUUGUAAACCGCUUUCAGCAGGGGCGAAGCUUGUGGUGACGGUACCUGCAGAAGAAGCACCGGCUAACUACGUG